RNAcentral lists this ribosomal RNA (497 nucleotides) under uncultured bacterium. RNAcentral describes it as "partial 16S ribosomal RNA". It matches the Rfam family "Bacterial small subunit ribosomal RNA", at positions 28 to 507 of the family's 1533-position model. The record is from RNAcentral.
GAUGAACGCUGGCGGCGUGCCUAAUACAUGCAAGUCGAGCGAACGGACGAGAAGCUUGCUUCUCUGAUGUUAGCGGCGGACGGGUGAGUAACACGUGGAUAACCUACCUAUAAGACUGGGAUAACUUCGGGAAACCGGAGCUAAUACCGGAUAAUAUUUUGAACCGCAUGGUUCAAAAGUGAAAGACGGUCUUGCUGUCACUUAUAGAUGGAUCCGCGCUGCAUUAGCUAGUUGGUAAGGUAACGGCUUACCAAGGCAACGAUGCAUAGCCGACCUGAGAGGGUGAUCGGCCACACUGGAACUGAGACACGGUCCAGACUCCUACGGGAGGCAGCAGUGGGGAAUAUUCCGCAAUGGGCGAAAGCCUGACGGAGCAACGCCGCGUGAGUGAUGAAGGUCUUCGGAUCGUAAAACUCUGUUAUUAGGGAAGAACAUAUGUGUAAGAAACUGUGCACAUCUUGACGGUACCUAAUCAGAAAGCCACGGCUAACUACGUG